UUAAGCUAAGAAGAGCGUAGGGAGAAUGCCUUGGCAUUAGGAGCCGACGAAGGACGUGAUAAGCUGCGAUAAGCUGCGGGGAUCAGCAAGUAUGAAUUGAUCCGCAGAUUUCCGAAUGGAGCAAUCCGUAUGUGUAUGCACAUACAUCAUAUACUGAAUCAAAUAGGUAUAUGAGGGGAACCGCCUGAACUGAAACAUCUAAGUAGGGCGAGGAAGAGAAAUCAACCGAGAUUCUGUGAGUAGUGGCGAGCGAAAGCGGAAGAGGCUAAACCAUAGGUAGCAAUACUUAUGGGGUUUCGGACAGCAUUUAGUAUUGAUAAUUUCUAGUUGAAACGUGUGGGAAAACGUACCGAAGAGUGUGAGAGUCACGUAAGCGAAAGAGAAAGUCAGCGAGCUGUAUCCAAAGUACCGCGGGACACGUGAAACCCCGUGGGAAGAUGGGGGGACCAUCCUCCAAGCCUAAAUACUACCUAAUGACCGAUAGCGAAUAGUACUGUGAAGGAACGGUGAAAAGAACCCCGGGAGGGGAGUGAAAAAGAACCUGAAACCCUAUGCUUACAAGCACCGAGAGCACGUCAAAGUGUGAUCGGGUACCUUUUGUAGAAUGGUCCGGCGAGUUAUUGUAUGCGGCAAGGUUAAGUGCUUAAGGCACGGAGCCGAAGCGAGAGCAAGUCUGAACAGGGCGAAAAAGUCGUAUGCAAUAGACCCGAAACCGAGUGACCUAUCCAUGUCCAGGCUGAAGUGGAGGUAAAACUCCAUGGAGGGCCGAACACACGUCCGUUGAAAAGGCCGGUGAUGAGGUGUGGAUAGCGGAGAAAUUCCAAUCGAACUCGGAUAUAGCUGGUUCUCUCCGAAAUAGCUUUAGGGCUAGCCUCGUGAAAGAUUACUGGAGGUAAAGCACUGAAUGGGCUAGGGGUCGAAAGAUUACUGAACCCUAUCAAACUAAGAAUGCCAGAUAAUUGAUUCACGGGAGUCAGACAAUGUGAGAUAAGUCUCAUUGUCAAAAGGGAAACAGCCCAGACCCACAGCUAAGGUCCCUAAACAUUGUUAAGUGGAAAAGGAUGUGGGGUUGCAUAAACAACCAGGAUGUUGGCUUAGAAGCAGCCACUCAUUAAAAGAGUGCGUAAUAGCUCACUGGUCGAGUGACCCUGCGCCGAAAAUUCAACGGGGCUAAACAAUGUACCGAAGCUUGGGAUUCUAAAGUAAUUUAGAGUGGUAGGAGAGCGUCGAAUAAGGGGUGAAGUCAGAGCGGAAGCGCUGGUGGACUUUAUUCGAGUGAGAAUGCCGGAAUGAGUAGCGAGAAUUAUGUGAGAAUCAUAAUGGCCGAAAAUCUAAGGUUUCCUGAGGAAGGUUCGUCCGCUCAGGGUAAGCCGGGGGCUAAGGCGAGGCGGAGACGCGUAGCCGAUGCACAUACGGUUGAAAUUCCGUAGCCACCGAAAGAUUUAAGUACAGGGACGCUUUAGAAGUGAUGUAGCCGGGCGAUGGUUGACCCGGUCGUAAGGGAUCGAAAAUGAGUAGAGAAGUCAUCAUGGAAAGAGACAAGAAAAGCUGUAUGGAUAUCUUAGGUGCCCGUACCGCAAACCGACACAGGUAGAUAGGAAGAAGAUUCUAAGGCCAACGGGAGAAGGGUUGUUAAGGAACUCGGCAAGUUGACCCCGUAACUUAGGGAUAAGGGGUGCUCAAGUGAUUGAGCCGCAGAGAAUAGGCCCAGGCGACUGUUUAGCAAAAACACAGGUCUCUGCUAAAUCGAAAGAUGACGUAUAGGGGCUGACACCUGCCCGGUGCCGGAAGGUUAAGAGGAGAUGUGAGAGCAUUGAAUUGAAGCCCCGGUAAACGGCGGCCGUAACUAUAACGGUCCUAAGGUAGCGAAAUUCCUUGUCAGGUAAGUUCUGACCCGC
This 1898-nucleotide ribosomal RNA is filed under the name human gut metagenome. RNAcentral describes it as "bacterial LSU rRNA". It matches the Rfam family "Bacterial large subunit ribosomal RNA", at positions 3 to 1991 of the family's 2925-position model. The record is from RNAcentral.